RNAcentral lists this ribosomal RNA (468 nucleotides) under uncultured bacterium. RNAcentral describes it as "partial 16S ribosomal RNA". It matches the Rfam family "Bacterial small subunit ribosomal RNA", at positions 28 to 507 of the family's 1533-position model. The record is from RNAcentral.
GACGAACGCUGGCGGCGUGCUUAACACAUGCAAGUCGAACGGAAAGGCCCUGCUUUUGUGGGGUGCUCGAGUGGCGAACGGGUGAGUAACACGUGAGUAACCUGCCCUUGACUUUGGGAUAACUUCAGGAAACUGGGGCUCAUACCGGAUAGGAGCUCCUGCUGCAUGGUGGGGGUUGGAAAGUUUCGGCGGUUGGGGAUGGACUCGCGGCUUAUCAGCUUGUUGGGGGGGUAGUGGCUUACAAAGGCUUUGACGGGUAGCCGGCCUGAGAGGGUGACCGGCCACAUUGGGACUGAGAUACGGCCCAGACUCCAACGGGAGGCAGCAGUGGGGAAUAUGGCACAAUGGGCGGAAGCCUGAUGCAGCAACGCCGCGUUCGGGAUGACGGCCUUCGGGUUGUAAACCGCUUUCGCCUGUGACGAAGCGUGAGUGACGGUAAUGGGUAAAGAAGCACCGGCUAACUACGUG